GAACAAAUAAAAAAAUUUAAAAAGUGUAGUAACUUUGAAAGUGUUUACCAAUUUUACUCCAAUCUCUAUUUCUAACUUGGGAAGAGUUCAAGAGUUUUAGAAGAAAAGAAAAAAAAAAUUAGAUGCCAGGAAGUACUAGAGAUUUCAUUUCACCACAUUUCACCCUCCCUAAUAAGCUCUAGAAAAGAGAACAGGCUAUCAGAAACCCUCAAGGCGUUUUGAGAAUUCUGAAAAGAUAAAUAUGUUCUUCCUUUCAAAGUAGAGAUAAAAUGAUUGACAAGUCUAACCUCCCUUUUUUCUCUCCCUUCUCUAGAUAAAGCAAGUAAACAAAAAUGACCAUUCUCUUUGAGAACCUCAGAGAGCCUCAGAGACAGCCUCUAAGAUUUCUAAUACCUCAGUAUGGGAAAAGAACCACAGGGUAUUUAUUUGAGCUUAAAGUGGCAGGGAGAGAGAGAGAGAGAGAGAGAGAGAGAGAGAGAGAGAGAGAGAGAGAGAGAGAGAAUAGGAAAUGUAAAGAAGACUUUGGGGAGGGAAGACUCCCCAGUAACCUGACAGAACUCUGAUAAAAGAGAAUAUGGGCUUAUAUAUGUCUCAGCAGAUUCUGGACCCUGAUCUAAGUAUAUAUUCCAAUUAAUGACUUCAAUUUGUUUUUCAAAGCUCAAAAAAUCCAUAUGUAACCCCAGGGAACAGGUCAUGUUACUUAGUUGACUAUGCAAAGUCAUUGCUACAUUGGAAAGCUAAAGACCAAUAUUUUAAAAUAAAAUAAAAAAUACAUUUUGCACACUUAUUUAUUAAUAUUGCCUAUAGUUAUGAAUGUCAUACAUCACAUUCCAAGUAGCAAAAGUAUUCAUACUUGCAUGAAUUUAUCACUGGGGGUUGUACGCUUUAGUUCUUCAGAAGAUAUAUAUUAUACAUGUAAUACACAUUUUUCCUCAUGCAACUCAAGUUAGGAAGAGAUGAAAGAAUAUGAAGCAAAGGGAUAAAGAAAAGAAGCACAGUUUAGAGGAAUUUUGCAUAUCUAGUUGAUGGGACUGGAUUUGAGAUCCAAGAAGUUUCUUGCUCUGUGAUUUACCUUGGGGAUAUUGUGAACUAGUCACUACUUGUUCUAAGGACAGUGAAAUUGCAUGAAUUAAGGCAGGAAAAAAAAUGGAGCUAGUAAACUA
RNAcentral lists this long non-coding RNA (1163 nucleotides) under Marmota monax (woodchuck). Lineage: Eukaryota; Metazoa; Chordata; Mammalia; Rodentia; Sciuridae. The record is from RNAcentral.